This 495-nucleotide ribosomal RNA is filed under the name uncultured bacterium. RNAcentral's name for it is "partial 16S ribosomal RNA". It matches the Rfam family "Bacterial small subunit ribosomal RNA", at positions 28 to 507 of the family's 1533-position model. The record is from RNAcentral.
GACGAACGCUGGCGGCGUGCCUAAUACAUGCAAGUAGAACGCUGAAGGAGGAGCUUGCUUCUCUGGAUGAGUUGCGAACGGGUGAGUAACGCGUAGGUAACCUGCCUGGUAGCGGGGGAUAACUAUUGGAAACGAUAGCUAAUACCGCAUAAUAGUAGAUGUUGCAUGACAUUUGCUUAAAAGGUGCAAUUGCAUCACUACCAGAUGGACCUGCGUUGUAUUAGCUAGUUGGUGGGGUAACGGCUCACCAAGGCGACGAUACAUAGCCGACCUGAGAGGGUGAUCGGCCACACUGGGACGGAGACACGGCCCAGACUCCUACGGGAGGCAGCAGUAGGGAAUCUUCGGCAAUGGACGGAAGUCUGACCGAGCAACGCCGCGUGAGUGAAGAAGGGUUUCGGAUCGUAAAGCUCUGUUGUAAGAGAAGAACGAGUGUGAGAGUGGAAAGUUCACACUGUGACGGUAUCUUACCAGAAAGGGACGGCUAACUACGUG